UCCUUAGAUGUUCUGGGCCGCACGCGCGCUACACUGAAGGCAUCAGCGUGUCCUUCCCUCCCCGAGAGGGGCGGGUAACCCGCUGAACCGCUUUCGUGGUAGGGAUCGGGGCUUGCAAUUAUUCCCCGUGAACCAGGAAUUCCCAGUAAGCGCGAGUCAUAAGCUCGCGUUGAUUACGUCCCUGCCCUUUGUACACACCGCCCGUCGCUACUACCGAUUGAACGUUUUAGUGAGGUAUUUGGAUCGGACCUGAAGGGGUUCACGCCCUUUCUGUGUCUGAGAAGACUCCCAAACUUGAGCGUUUAGAGGAAGUAAAAGUCGUAACA
RNAcentral lists this ribosomal RNA (326 nucleotides) under uncultured eukaryote. RNAcentral's name for it is "partial 18S ribosomal RNA". It matches the Rfam family "Eukaryotic small subunit ribosomal RNA", at positions 1470 to 1796 of the family's 1831-position model. The record is from RNAcentral.